GGGGGUGACAGGUCUCGACUUCGACCGUGAAGACAGGGGAAGCGGGCCGAGGAUGGCAGCGAUGAUCUCGUUAACCAUUCGCUGCGAAAAAACAAGCGCCAACACUAGUCGCGCUGACUUCGCCCUUGCUGCAUAAGUAAGGGAUCACCGAAGUCUGUCAGCCCGGGAUCGCCUCCGGCCCGGAGUCUGGCAUCGGUAGGAGGCUCGACCGGUAGACCCGGCUGCGGGGUCUAUCGGGAAAGCUCACAGCAGCUGGGCUCGUCGAGGCGGCUCGCCUGCUAGACCGCCUGAGCCGAGUAGGACGCUUGCAGGCUGCGCCCGGAGAAGCCCUCUCUCCACGUCGAAGGACCCGGGUUCGAUUCCCGGCACCUCCAC
RNAcentral lists this transfer-messenger RNA (375 nucleotides) under Acidothermus sp. It matches the Rfam family "transfer-messenger RNA". Rfam says of the family: Bacterial tmRNA, also known as 10Sa RNA or SsrA, is named for its dual tRNA and mRNA-like properties. Its role is to liberate the mRNA from a stalled ribosome. The record is from RNAcentral. Lineage: Bacteria; Bacillati; Actinomycetota; Actinomycetes; Acidothermales; Acidothermaceae.